GUGGGGAAUAUUGGGCAAUGGAGGCAACUCUGACCCAGCAACGCCGCGUGAAGGAUGAAGGUUUUCGGACUGUAAACUUCUGUUAUAGAGGAAAAAGAAAGUGAUGGUACUCUAUGAGAAAGCUACGGCAAACUAUGUGCCAGCAGCCGCGGUAAUACAUAGGUAGCAAGCGUUAUCCGGAAUAACUGGGCGUAAAGGGAGUGUAGGUGGUUAUGUAAGUCACAUGUGAAAGCCUUGGGCUAAACCCAAGAAAUGCAUGUGAUACUGUGUAACUAGAGUGUGAGAGGGGUAAGUGGAAUUCCUAGUGUAGCGGUAGAAUGCGUAGAGAUUAGGAGGAACACCAGAGGCGAAGGCGGCUUACUGGCUCAUAACUGACACUGAGGCUCGAAAGCGUGGGGAGCAAACAGGAUUAGAUACCCCAGUAGUCC
Molecule: ribosomal RNA, 428 nt
Filed under: uncultured bacterium
Lineage: Bacteria
Description: partial 16S ribosomal RNA
Rfam family: Bacterial small subunit ribosomal RNA
Source: RNAcentral